This 497-nucleotide ribosomal RNA is filed under the name uncultured bacterium. Its description in RNAcentral is "partial 16S ribosomal RNA". It matches the Rfam family "Bacterial small subunit ribosomal RNA", at positions 28 to 507 of the family's 1533-position model. The record is from RNAcentral.
GAUGAACGCUGGCGGCGUGCCUAAUACAUGCAAGUCGAGCGAACAGACGAGGAGCUUGCUCCUCUGACGUUAGCGGCGGACGGGUGAGUAACACGUGGAUAACCUACCUAUAAGACUGGGAUAACUUCGGGAAACCGGAGCUAAUACCGGAUAAUAUAUUGAACCGCAUGGUUCAAUAGUGAAAGACGGUUUUGCUGUCACUUAUAGAUGGAUCCGCGCCGCAUUAGCUAGUUGGGAAGGUAACGGCUUACCAAGGCAACGAUGCGUAGCCGACCUGAGAGAGUGGUCGGCCACACUGGAACUUAGACACGGUCCAGACUCCUACGGGAGGCAGCAGUAGGGAAUCUUCCGCAAUGGGCGAAAGCCUGACGGAGCAACGCCGCGUGAGUGAUGAAGGUCUUCGGAUCGUAAAACUCUGUUAUUAGGGAAGAACAAAUGUGUAAGUAACUAUGCACGUCUUGACGGUACCUAAUCAGAAAGCCACGGCUAACUACGUG